Molecule: ribosomal RNA, 565 nt
Filed under: uncultured Burkholderia sp.
Lineage: Bacteria; Pseudomonadati; Pseudomonadota; Betaproteobacteria; Burkholderiales; Burkholderiaceae
Description: bacterial SSU rRNA
Rfam family: Bacterial small subunit ribosomal RNA
Source: RNAcentral
CGGAACAUGUCCUGUAGUGGGGGAUAGCCCGGCGAAAGCCGGAUUAAUACCGCAUACGAUCUGAGGAUGAAAGCGGGGGACCUUCGGGCCUCGCGCUAUAGGGUUGGCCGAUGGCUGAUUAGCUAGUUGGUGGGGUAAAGGCCUACCAAGGCGACGAUCAGUAGCUGGUCUGAGAGGACGACCAGCCACACUGGGACUGAGACACGGCCCAGACUCCUACGGGAGGCAGCAGUGGGGAAUUUUGGACAAUGGGCGAAAGCCUGAUCCAGCAAUGCCGCGUGUGUGAAGAAGGCCUUCGGGUUGUAAAGCACUUUUGUCCGGAAAGAAAUCCUUGGUUCUAAUAUAGCCGGGGGAUGACGGUACCGGAAGAAUAAGCACCGGCUAACUACGUGCCAGCAGCCGCGGUAAUACGUAGGGUGCAAGCGUUAAUCGGAAUUACUGGGCGUAAAGCGUGCGCAGGCGGUUUGCUAAGACCGAUGUGAAAUCCCCGGGCUCNACCUGGGAACUGCAUUGGUGACUGGCANGCUAGAGUAUGGCAGANGGGGGUAGAAUUCCNCGUGUAGCA